ACUUUUAGCUGUAUUUGUUCCUAAAUUAGAUUGGUAUCGUUUUCAUCAAACAAAUGCCCUAUUUAUGGCACUUCAUUAUUAUAUCUGUCGGGUAUUGAAGAGCAUUCGGUACAAGUGUGCGCCUAUAGGUAUAUUAAAUUCACUUUACUUACAUGAACCCGCUCGGAGUAGGUAUACAUACUCCCGACACUCUCGUACUGUCUCGUC
Cinara cedri is the source of this 207-nucleotide non-coding RNA. The record is from the annotation of a GenBank genome assembly. NCBI's taxonomy places the organism in Eukaryota, Metazoa, Arthropoda, Insecta, Hemiptera, Aphididae.